RNAcentral lists this long non-coding RNA (379 nucleotides) under Lathyrus oleraceus (garden pea). Its description in RNAcentral is "Pisum sativum (pea) long non-coding RNA (PSAT_LNC041247)". The record is from RNAcentral. Lineage: Eukaryota; Viridiplantae; Streptophyta; Magnoliopsida; Fabales; Fabaceae.
UUUAUUAUUAUUAUUACUUAAAUAAAAUUAUUGUUUAGGAAUUUUUAAUAAAUAUUUUUUCUUUAAAUAAUAGAUAAUAAGAAUUGUUAAUAAAAAAGAAAGAAAAACUCUCUCACACUCCAACGUCUCUCUCUGCUACAAAAAAGAACAAAAAAUAAAAUAAAAGGAGGAAAAGGUGGUCAGAAGGUUGAAAAAAGGCGACACGUCUUAUCUUCUUUCCCACCCUGUCAUUCACGAAAAAGGAGGAAAGAAAAGGAGAAGCGUACACGUUUCCCUCAUCGGUCUCUCUUAUAAUCACCUACCAAAAACUUCUUCAGACAGACUCCCACUCCUUCUCUUCUUCACAACAUCCCACCAACACCAAAAAUCACUCACCAAC